AGAGUUUGAUCCUGGCUCAGAAUGAACGCUGGCGGCGUGCCUAACACACACAAGUCGGAUGUGCCGCAAGGUGCAUGGCAGACGGGUGAGUAACGCGUAGGGAAUCUACCUUUUUGUGGGGAAUAACGCUCCGAAAGGAGUGGUAAUACCGCAUGAGACCGCAGACUGGGAUGUUUGUGGUGAAACCUGGGGACCGCAAGGCCUGGGGCAAGAAGAGGAUCCUGCGUCUGAUUAGCUAGUUGGCGGGGUAAUGGCCCACCAAGGCGACGAUCAGUAGCCGGCCUGAGAGGGUGAUCGGCCACACUGGAACUGAGACACGGUCCAGACUCCUACGGGAGGCAGCAGUGGGGAAUUUUGCGCAAUGGACGAGAGUCUGGCGCAGCAACGCCGCGUGGGUGAUGAAGGUCUUCGG
RNAcentral lists this ribosomal RNA (412 nucleotides) under uncultured bacterium. Its description in RNAcentral is "bacterial SSU rRNA". It matches the Rfam family "Bacterial small subunit ribosomal RNA", at positions 8 to 421 of the family's 1533-position model. The record is from RNAcentral.